GCUGGUGUAGUUUAGCCUGGCUAUAACGCCGUGCUCAUAACGCGGAGGUCGUGAGUUCAAAUCUCACCACCAGCA
RNAcentral lists this transfer RNA (75 nucleotides) under Candidatus Aenigmatarchaeota archaeon. RNAcentral describes it as "tRNA-Met". It matches the Rfam family "tRNA". Rfam says of the family: Transfer RNA (tRNA) molecules are approximately 80 nucleotides in length. Lineage: Archaea; Nanobdellati; Candidatus Aenigmatarchaeota. The record is from RNAcentral.